GACGAACGCUGGCGGCGUGCUUAACACAUGCAAGUCGAACGGAAAGGCCCUGCUUUUGUGGGGUGCUCGAGUGGCGAACGGGUGAGUAACACGUGAGUAACCUGCCCUUGACUUUGGGAUAACUUCAGGAAACUGGGGCUAAUACCGGAUAGGAGCUCCUGCUGCAUGGUGGGGGUUGGAAAGUUUCGGCGGUUGGGGAUGGACUCGCGGCUUAUCAGCUUGUUGGUGGGGUAGUGGCUUACCAAGGCUUUGACGGGUAGCCGGCCUGAGAGGGUGACCGGCCACAUUGGUACUGAGAGACGGCCCAGACUCCUACGGGAGGCAGCAGUGGGGAAUAUUGCACAAUGGGCGGAAGCCUGAUGCAGCAACGCCGCGUGCGGGAUGACGGCCUUCGGGUUGUAAACCGCUUUCGCCUGUGACGAAGCGUGAGUGACGGUAAUGGGUAAAGAAGCACCGGCUAACUACGUG
Molecule: ribosomal RNA, 468 nt
Filed under: uncultured bacterium
Lineage: Bacteria
Description: partial 16S ribosomal RNA
Rfam family: Bacterial small subunit ribosomal RNA
Source: RNAcentral